Molecule: long non-coding RNA, 262 nt
Organism: Octopus bimaculoides (California two-spot octopus)
Lineage: Eukaryota; Metazoa; Mollusca; Cephalopoda; Octopoda; Octopodidae
Source: RefSeq, a predicted model, not a curated record
AUUAAUAGCAAAAGUUUCAGUGAAAACUAUUUGAUACAUCAAAGGAUGAAUAGUCCCCUACACCAACGUGACUCAUUUCAAUGCCUUCUUGUAUGAAUGUACUUAUACACUGGAACGCAGCCAUGCUUAGGAAUCGCCUACAAGUGUUUUAGCGGAUUAUACUGGCCUCGAAGCUUUGUCUAAAGCUUAUUUUAUCGGCUUCAGACAGGACGAAAGACAAAGUCGACCUUGACGUAACUUGAACGGAAAUAAAUAUCACAAG